This is a small nucleolar RNA of Cannabis sativa, 107 nucleotides long. The record is from RefSeq and is a predicted model, not a curated record. Lineage: Eukaryota; Viridiplantae; Streptophyta; Magnoliopsida; Rosales; Cannabaceae.
AUACAAUGGUGGGGGCACUCACUCAAUAAAUCUUUAAAAUGCUGCCAAGCUUCAUACAAAGAUUGUCCAUCAUUCUGACAAAUGUUAUUAAUUUCUCCUCUCAACUU